This 211-nucleotide unclassified non-coding RNA is filed under the name plant metagenome. RNAcentral describes it as "partial contains small subunit ribosomal RNA, internal transcribed spacer 1, and 5.8S ribosomal RNA". The record is from RNAcentral.
UUUCCGAAGGUGAACCUGCGGAAGGAUCAUUCAUAAUAAAGUGUUUUAUGGCACUUUUUAAAAAUCCAUAUCCACCUUGUGUGCAAUGUUAGAUCUCGUCAAUCUUGGCGAGAUUUUUAUACAUCAACUCAUUCUUUAACUAAUUUGUCUGAAAAAUAUUAUGAAUACUUAAUUCAAAAUACAACUUUCAACAACGGAUCUCUUGGCUCUC